ACGUACACUCCUACGGGAGGCAGCAGUGGGGAAUAUUGGACAAUGGGCGCAAGCCUGAUCCAGCCAUGCCGCGUGAGUGAUGAAGGCCCUAGGGUUGUAAAGCUCUUUCACCGGUGAAGAUAAUGACGGUAACCGGAGAAGAAGCCCCGGCUAACUUCGUGCCAGCAGCCGCGGUAAUACGAAGGGGGCUAGCGUUGUUCGGAUUUACUGGGCGUAAAGCGCACGUAGGCGGACUAUUAAGUCAGGGGUGAAAUCCCGGGGCUCAACCCCGGAACUGCCUUUGAUACUGGUAGUCUUGAGUUCGAGAGAGGUGAGUGGAAUUCCGAGUGUAGAGCUGAGAUUCGUAGAUAUUCGGAGGAACACCAGUGGCGAAGGCGGCUCACUGGCUCGAUACUGACGCUGAGGUGCGAAAGCGUGGGGAGCAAACAGGAUUAGAUACCCCUGUAGUCC
Molecule: ribosomal RNA, 450 nt
Filed under: uncultured organism
Description: partial 16S ribosomal RNA
Rfam family: Bacterial small subunit ribosomal RNA
Source: RNAcentral